GACUGCGUACCUUUUGUAUAAUGGGUCAGCGACUUAUAUUCUGUAGCAAGGUUAACCGAAUAGGGGAGCCGAAGGGAAACCGAGUCUUAACCGGGCGUUAAGUUGCAGGGUAUAGACCCGAAACCCGGUGAUCUAGCCAUGGGCAGGUUGAAGGUUGGGUAACACUAACUGGAGGACCGAACCGACUAAUGUUGAAAAAUUAGCGGAUGACUUGUGGCUGGGGGUGAAAGGCCAAUCAAACCGGGAGAUAGCUGGUUCUCCCCGAAAGCUAUUUAGGUAGCGCCUCGUGAAUUCAUCUCCGGGGGUAGAGCACUGUUUCGGCAAGGGGGUCAUCCCGACUUACCAACCCGAUGCAAACUGCGAAUACCGGAGAAUGUUAUCACGGGAGACACACGGCGGGUGCUAACGUCCGUCGUGAAGAGGGAAACAACCCAGACCGCCAGCUAAGGUCCCAAAGUCAUGGUUAAGUGGGAAACGAUGUGGGAAGGCCCAGACAGCCAGGAUGUUGGCUUAGAAGCAGCCAUCAUUUAAAGAAAGCGUAAUAGCUCACUGGUCGAGUCGGCCUGCGCGGAAGAUGUAACGGGGCUAAACCAUGCACCGAAGCUGCGGCAGCGACACUGUGUGUUGUUGGGUAGGGGAGCGUUCUGUAAGCCUGUGAAGGUGUACUGUAAGGUAUGCUGGAGGUAUCAGAAGUGCGAAUGCUGACAUAAGUAACGAUAAAGCGGGUGAAAAGCCCGCUCGCCGGAAGACCAAGGGUUCCUGUCCAACG
This 769-nucleotide ribosomal RNA is filed under the name Escherichia coli. Its description in RNAcentral is "partial 23S ribosomal RNA". It matches the Rfam family "Bacterial large subunit ribosomal RNA", at positions 595 to 1364 of the family's 2925-position model. Lineage: Bacteria; Pseudomonadati; Pseudomonadota; Gammaproteobacteria; Enterobacterales; Enterobacteriaceae. The record is from RNAcentral.